Molecule: long non-coding RNA, 475 nt
Organism: Canis lupus familiaris (dog)
Lineage: Eukaryota; Metazoa; Chordata; Mammalia; Carnivora; Canidae
Exons: 2
Source: RefSeq, a predicted model, not a curated record
AGGAGUCACUUUCCGACCUUCAAGGGACAAUUGCCUUUAAGGAUUUCAUUCUGAGCAGGGGCUACACAAUGCCAAGUUUCCUUGAGAAGAUGUAUAUCAGGAAGGAGCGUAAAUGUGAUUGUAAUAUGACUUCUAUAAAAUAACUCAAGCAUGGAAGAAUCUUGAGAAGAUGAUUAGAUCAAUUUUAUUUACUACAUACUUGGCUAUUUCUCUGUCUCAUUUUAAACCUUAAAUAAGACUUAUGAGUGUCCCAUGGAUAUACAACUUUGACUUGGCAACAUCUAUAAAUUUCAUACUUAAUACUUGAAAACAUUUCACAAUGGCUGUCUGCUUCUGGUAAUUAAUAUUUUAUAUAUCAUAUCAGCAAUGAGAUCAAUAUUCACACAUAGUCUUCUCACAUUUUUGUAGCAUUGUCAAUAUUACAUAGUUAUAUAACUACUUGUAAGAAAAAACAAAUAAAACUGUAAGUAAAAGC